AAAAAUUCGAUGAAAAAGAGAGUAAUUGAUGGGAGGACUGGCAAGCGAGUUAGGGAUGGUGGAAGCCUAAUGCAGGAACCAUGAAUGAAGCGCACUUUGGAGAAGAUUCUUGAACAAAUAGUAGAGAAUAGCGGGGCGUCACCUCGUUAACAACGGAAAGUGGUCAUGUCACAUGGCAACUAGAGUGGUACCACGGGAUUAUCAUGCUCUCGUCUCUAAU
RNAcentral lists this non-coding RNA (220 nucleotides) under Lysinibacillus macroides. RNAcentral's name for it is "T-box sequence". It matches the Rfam family "T-box leader". From Rfam's summary of the family: Uncharged tRNA acts as the effector for transcription antitermination of genes in the T-box leader family. T-boxes are found upstream of many aminoacyl-tRNA synthetase genes and some amino acid biosynthetic genes usually in Gram-positive bacteria. Lineage: Bacteria; Bacillati; Bacillota; Bacilli; Caryophanales; Bacillaceae. The record is from RNAcentral.